CUCAUGUUAACUGUUUAAAAGAAGCAACGGCUUCACUAUCAGAUGGACCUGCGUUGUAUUAGCUAGUAGGUAGGGUAACGGCCUACCUAGGCAACGAUACAUAGCCGACCUGAGAGGGUGAACGGCCACACUGGGACUGAGACACGGCCCAGACUCCUACGGGAGGCAGCAGUAGGGAAUCUUCGGCAAUGGACGCAAGUCUGACCGAGCAACGCCGCGUGAGUGAAGACGGUUUUCGGAUCGUAAAGCUCUGUUGUAGGGGAAGAACGUGUGUAAGAGUGGAAAGCUUACACAGUGACGGUACCCUACCAGAAAGGGACGGCUAACUACGUGCCAGCAGCCGCGGUAAUACGUAGGUCCCGAGCGUUGUCCGGAUUUAUUGGGCGUAAAGGGAGCGCAGGCGGUUUAGUAAGUCUGAAGUUAAAGGCAUUGGCUCAACCAAUGUAUGCUUUGGAAACUGUUAGACUUGAGUGCAGAAGGGGAGAGUGGAAUUCCAUGUGUAGCGGUGAAAUGCGUAGAUAUAUGGAGGAACACCGGUGGCGAAAGCGGCUC
Molecule: ribosomal RNA, 552 nt
Filed under: uncultured Bacilli bacterium
Lineage: Bacteria; Bacillati; Bacillota; Bacilli
Description: bacterial SSU rRNA
Rfam family: Bacterial small subunit ribosomal RNA
Source: RNAcentral